AGUGAACGCUGGCGGUAGGCCUAACACAUGCCAGUCGAACGGCAGCACAGUAAGAGCUUGCUCUUACGGGUGGCGAGUGGCGGACGGGUGAGGAAUACAUCGGAAUCUACUUUUUCGUGGGGGAUAACGUAGGGAAACUUACGCUAAUACCGCAUACGACCUACGGGUGAAAGCAGUGGAUCUUCGGACCUUUCGCGAUUGAAUGAGCCGAUGUCGGAUUAGCUAGUUGGCGGGGUAACGGCCCACCAAGGCGACGAUCCGUAGCUGGUCUGAGAGGAUGAUCAGCCACACUGGAACUGAGACACGGUCCAGACUCCUACGGGAGGCAGCAGUGGGGAAUAUUGGACAAUGGGCGCAAGCCUGAUCCAGCCAUACCGCGUGGGUGAAGAAGGCCUUCGGGUUGUAAAGCCCUUUUGUUGGGAAAGAAAAGCAGCAGGUUAAUACCCCGCUGUUCUGACGGUACCCAAAGAAUAAGCACCGGCUAACUUCGUG
RNAcentral lists this ribosomal RNA (492 nucleotides) under uncultured bacterium. RNAcentral describes it as "partial 16S ribosomal RNA". It matches the Rfam family "Bacterial small subunit ribosomal RNA", at positions 29 to 507 of the family's 1533-position model. The record is from RNAcentral.